GACGAACGCUGGCGGCGUGCUUAACACAUGCAAGUCGAGCGGUAAGGCCCAGCUUGCUGGGUACACGAGCGGCGAACGGGUGAGUAACACGUGGGUGACCUGCCCCGCACUUCGGGAUAAGCCUGGGAAACUGGGUCUAAUACCGGAUGUUCACAUGGUCUCGCAUGGGAUGGUGUGGAAAGUUUUUUCGGUGUGGGAUGGGCCCGCGGCCUAUCAGCUUGUUGGUGGGGUGAUGGCCUACCAAGGCGG
This 249-nucleotide ribosomal RNA is filed under the name uncultured Actinomycetes bacterium. RNAcentral describes it as "uncultured actinobacterium partial 16S ribosomal RNA". It matches the Rfam family "Bacterial small subunit ribosomal RNA", at positions 28 to 276 of the family's 1533-position model. The record is from RNAcentral. Lineage: Bacteria; Bacillati; Actinomycetota; Actinomycetes.